This 2096-nucleotide unclassified non-coding RNA is filed under the name Leishmania donovani. Its description in RNAcentral is "gene:LdHU3.36.4540(CDS-product:ADP-ribosylation_f actor_GTPase_activating_protein_putative)". Lineage: Eukaryota; Euglenozoa; Kinetoplastea; Trypanosomatida; Trypanosomatidae. The record is from RNAcentral.
CAACUUCUCCGUGCGCCUUCACCGAUCAGCUUCGGUAGUCUACUCAGAAAAGCGCGGGCGCCAAAGCAAAGAGCCCGGUGAGUAUCACCACUGGCACCGCUUUCGUCAUCCUUGUCGACACCCUCGGAUGCAUACUUUUUUAUUUCCGCGACGUCGUUCACGGCAGCAUUGCAGCGCCUUUAGUGGGGCAGAAGACCUGCACACGUAGCGCUGAGAAGUAAUAAAAUAAAAAAACGAAAAGCCACCAGUGUCUUUCAAAAAGCAAGGAUGAAUAUUCGACAGCGCAAGUCGGAGCGGCACAAGGAGGUGCUGCGGAAGCUCAGCCAGAAUGGUGGCAACAAGAGCUGUUUUGAUUGCGGCAUGCGAGGUCCGCUGUACGUAGUCUCAGAUUUUGGCAUUCUUGUCUGCUCCGGCUGCAGCGCCGUGCACCGCUCCUUUCAGCACAAGGUGAAGGGGAUCACGAUGAGUGAGUUUACGGAUGACGAGAUCGCCCGUUUCUCCGUAGCCGGCAACGACCGGGCCCUCAAGGUAUGGUUGAGCACCUUUCACAACCAGCUCCCUCGCUCCGGUGACGUGAUGGCGCUGAAAGACCACGUGCGCGUGGUCUUCGAAGAACGGCGGUUUUUGAAUGCGCAGGAGCUCUCUGCUUUGCAAGACUCGUGGGAGCACGCAAGGGAACAGCCUUCACAGGCGCCACCACCUUUGUCCGUUACGAGGCCUGCAGAGUCCUCUCUCGCUUCAAUUCCAGAGGCACCCACGGCGCAACCCGGGCCCGUUUCGGCACCGACGAAUCCCGCGCGACCGCCGCAAGAGGACGUCUUCGAUAGCCUGUUCUCUGCAUCAGUGCAGUCUUCGUCGACACCGCAACCCACAGCGCAUGCAGCAGCACCACCACCACCAAUGACUACCUUGCACGCCCCUGCUCCUCCAGCGCCGCAGCAGCCCGCAACAGUAACCAGUAUCGUGGCUGACUUGUUUGCUGGAGUGCCGCCGCCAGUGGUGCAGCCAGCAGGUGGAUAUAGCGCUCCUCAUCCACAGCAACAACAGCAACAGCAGUCGAUGAGCUAUCCUACUGAUGGCGGCAUGUACAACUUCACUCAAGGCCCCCAGAGCAGCAUGAUGGCACCUACGCAGCUGCAGUCCUCACAGCUGCCGUACCAGCAGCAGCAGCAAGCGCAGCCGACUCCCUACGCUGCAAGUGGCCCGAUGGUGUGCGCGCCAUGUGUAGGAAGUCAGCACGCAUCGACGUUCGAUUUUGCCGCACCAUCCGCACCUGCGGCGAAUCCCUACCCGUACCAGCAGCAGCAACCGCAGCCGUUCACUUGGGGUCAACCCGCGCCGACACAGCUGCAACAGCAACAGCAGCAUAUGAUAGGGUUUCUCGGCUCUUCCGGGAGCGCGGCCCCGUACGCUGCGCCCGCCCAGCCACAGAGCUACAACUUCAAGAGCGGCGCACCAGGCGCCACCGCCUACCCCUCCGCGAACGGUGCACCGGCCCAGGCUUACCAGCUGUCGCCUUUUGCGAGCAAUCCACCGCCUCCGCAGGAAGACUGGGGUGCGUCCCUGUCGUCAAACGCGUCUUCCAUCCCCAACCACAAUCGCAUCGUCGUCUUGUCGGUGACGAAGCAGCAGAAUGACGGACCGCAGAACCCUCAGCCGCCGUGGCAGUGAUUCUCUACUCUAUUUGAGCGAAAGAGCCUCUGGCAUAGUGCGGGACUAUACCGGCGCUCGUGCAUUCGGGACUGCUCUUCCGGCGUCGGUUUGAUGACGCGGUUUUCCAGUUGCAUUCUGAGAGGAGGGAGGAGAGCGUGAGAAGGACGACUCGCCUCGCUCUCCUUGUCUCGCUUCUUAUUCUCUCACCGCUCUGCACAUGCAUGUCUCCGCGUCCACGAAUAGGCGCUGAGUCUUUAGAGCGUAAAAUCAUGAGCGGCGGCACACGGCAGAGGGGCGAGUCAACUUCAUGGAUAACCGCUCGCACGCAGGACGCGUGCGAGCUCUUCGUGCUUUUUGUUUGCCUUUGUCAUCCUCUGCUGGGGCGCAGACAGUAUGGGCGACUGUGCACGAGAGUUGGAUGAGUAGGCCUUCCUUGAUUUGCA